This 492-nucleotide ribosomal RNA is filed under the name uncultured bacterium. Its description in RNAcentral is "partial 16S ribosomal RNA". It matches the Rfam family "Bacterial small subunit ribosomal RNA", at positions 29 to 507 of the family's 1533-position model. The record is from RNAcentral.
AGUGAACGCUGGCGGUAGGCCUAACACAUGCAAGUCGAACGGCAGCACAGUAAGAGCUUGCUCUUACGGGUGGCGAGUGGCGGACGGGUGAGGAAUACAUCGGAAUCUACUUUUUCGUGGGGGAUAACGUAGGGAAACUUACGCUAAUACCGCAUACGACCUACGGGUGAAGGCAGGGGAUCUUCGGACCUUGCGCGAUUGAAUGAGCCGAUGUCGGAUUAGCUAGUUGGCGGGGUAAAGGCCCACCAAGGCGACGAUCCGUAGCUGGUCUGAGAGGAUGAUCAGCCCCACUGGAACUGAGACACGAUCCAGACUCCUACGGGAGGCAGCAGUGGGGAAUAUUGGACAAUGGGCGCAAGCCUGAUCCAGCCAUACCGCGUGGGUGAAGAAGGCCUUCGGGUUGUAAAGCCCUUUUGUUGGGAAAGAAAAGCAGCAGGUUAAUACCCCGCUGUUCUGACGGUACCCAAAGAAUAAGCACCGGCUAACUUCGUG